Molecule: long non-coding RNA, 430 nt
Organism: Manihot esculenta (cassava)
Lineage: Eukaryota; Viridiplantae; Streptophyta; Magnoliopsida; Malpighiales; Euphorbiaceae
Exons: 2
Source: RefSeq, a predicted model, not a curated record
AUGUUCAUCUCGUUGUUGAUCCAUGGACUAGAGAAUCUCGUGGAUUUGGUUUUGUAACAAUGUCCAACGUUGAUGAGGCUGAUCGAUGUAUUAAGUAUUUGAACCGAUCUGUUCUUGAAGGCCGUGUCAUCACGGUGGAGAAGCUUCAGCAGGUUAGCUGUGUGUAGCAGCUCUUCAUCAAUCUCCAAAGUUCUUACCACAACUAAACAAACAAAUCAAACACACCAAGAAGUUUCAGACUGUUAGGGUUGUAUGCCCUGCAUUUCUCUCCUUUUUUUAGCAAUUAAAUAUUGUGCUGCUUAAGUUAUAUCUCAUACCAAUUUUGUUAUCACUUCAUUUGUUAUGAAUGUUUUACUCUCUUAAUACAUAGGGAUGGAUGUAUACAUUGGAAAGGAGUAAAUUUUAUUAACAUCUUUCUAUUACAGUUGUU